Long non-coding RNA from Leptopilina heterotoma, 1613 nucleotides. RefSeq lists it as uncharacterized. NCBI's taxonomy places the organism in Eukaryota, Metazoa, Arthropoda, Insecta, Hymenoptera, Figitidae. The record is from RefSeq and is a predicted model, not a curated record. The transcript has 3 exons.
UUUACGUAGAGAAAGUCAAUCUCAUUUCGUCAUUCCUAUAAGUAGUAAAGUGGCUUCAGCAGACACACGUGUUACUUGGCGAAUGUCCCACGCCUUCCUUUGAUGAUAUGGUGAAGGUUCUCCUUGUAGUACUUGAAAUGAACCCGGAAGUAUUAUUAUAUGCUGGGCACGUGAUGGUUUUAAUCGUGUAAGCAACACAGACCUUCAUGAAAAGUUUUACCCGGUUGUGUUUAAACGUAUCCAAUAUACCACAUAUUAUUGAUGGUAUACAUUGCUUUUGUAACGGUAAAAUCUGCCCUGACGCCUACGCAAUUUUUUCGAAAAAUAACCUUUUCAUUUACGCCCAGAAGGUAAAUUUGCAAUUUCUCCUUUUUUGAAAAAUAAUUGAAACGAUUACUAAUAUCGUUGAAUUAUUAUUAUUGAUUCAAGAAUAAGACAUAUUAAACAGUUUUUAAUCAACAAUUGGUAUUAUUUACUAAUUAUAUGAUUUUUUUUGAUAUUUUUCUCUUCAGGUAUUAUCUGGGAAUAUUUCUAUUUUUCUAGUUAUGAAAAAUUCACUGUAUGACGCAUAAAAUGAUGUUUGGGUAAAAUUCUUUUUGUUACAGAUUUCAUAGCACUUUCACUCUUUAAAUUGUAGCUGCUGGGAAAUUUUCCCUUGCAAAACAUGUAAAGCUAUUCGUCUGUCUAAUCGCACAAAAGAUAAGCUAGUUUAUUGCGUCUUCUUAGCCGCAAUAAAAAAAAGCAAGAAAACCAGUAAAGCAGUAUUAUACACGUUGCACGAAUCACGGAGACAACUAUACUGUCGGCUAUAUUCAGACGGAUUUUUAAUUCCAUGGACGUUUCAUUACAUCAACACUCUAUAGCAGAGAGUUCAUUACAUCAUUUCUCACUAUGAAAGAGCGUAAUGCUUCCAUAUUAACCUGAAUUCUUACGAAAGAAUUUUCAUUUCGGCCAUAAAUUUCUAUUGUUCCAAGGAUUUCAAUGCUACUUGCUGUAUGAGACAAUUUUUUUCCAGAGUCAGUUUUUUUUAGAAAUUUGUGAAGAAAACAAAAAUUUUAAUUUAUUUGAAUUCAUCUUGGAAAAUGCAAGUAAAAAUAGAAAAUAGUAAUUACUUUUCGUUGUAUAGAUUAAAUGUCUGAUAUACGAUUUUUCUUUUUUAGAUUUUAGAACUGCGUGUAUUAAUUUCUUAUCAGAGGAGAGAAGGGGAUUUCCAAAAUGCGCGUAAUAGAAGAAAUGAAGGUCGGGGAAAAUCAACACUAUAGACUUAUCUAUUACCAUGUCUAUUGUGAUUGAAAAAAAGGCAGUGCAGCUCGAAGGUGGAAAAAAAGGAAAAUGCUUUUCUGAAGUGAAAGGUUGACGAACCAAACAUGAUUCGUGGGUAGACUUCAAUAAUGAGACGAAAUAAUAGAGAACACAGGGACAUUGAAGAACAGUCGCCUACAAUUUGUGAUUUAACAGGCAGGAAGUAUAAUUCGUGGAUUGCGAAGCUGUAAUAAAAGAGAGUGUGAGAUGACAGUAAAUCGCGAGAGGUAUUUAAUUUUUGUUGGCUACUGGAAGUGUGACACCCACCUAUCAGAAGUCCCUGGAGAUUCUUCGACGAGAUAAACAUCGGC